GCUGAGGAGCAGAGAGGACCAGACUUCCUGGAAGAGCAAGCAGGGUACCUGAGGCAGAGCAAGGCUGGGGAAAGGCAGGUAGAGCUGAGGAGCUCUGAUCUGAACACACACAACGUGGGUAGCAUUACUGCAAGAUUCCUCAUCCCAAUGUCCUGAUGUAUGUCAACCAUGCCCUGGAAGGAUCACCAGAAAGAUUAAGAUACUAAACCGCAGAAGCAAAGGAAGUAGGUUUUCAAAGAAAACUGGGGUUUAUAUUUGAUGACAAAGAGCAAAUCUGGAGCUGUCUUCUGCCAAACUAUUGAUCUGCCACCUGAAUAUUGGUUGUGCGUGAGUAACAAGAGACUGUGGACACUGGAAAUCAUAAAAGAAAGCAGCAACUAAAGAGCAUAUUUGCUGCAUACACCAGCAUCAAAAUCUGCCUUUGUUAGGGCUGAAUGAAAACCAUCCUUAUCCUGUUGAAAUCACCUUCUCAGGUCGCAGCACAGCUGGUUGGAUUAUCUAUGAAUGAGGGCAUUUUGUCCCUAUCCAGAGGUACUGGCAAACAGCAAGUAUUCUGCUUCCAAUCCAUUGGGAGUUACACAUUGAUGGGUUUGAAUCCUUUAUACAGAAUAAAGCCAAUCACUUUGGGAUAUGGCAGUUUGGGACAUUAGCAUGCAAGUCCAUGGCAGAUUGCGAUCAUACAAUGGGUAAAUCCUCACAGUAUUUCAGUUGUCCAAUUUGGAGCGAACCCUACAGAAAAGUGUCCAAGUUUUCUGAAAUAUUGGGGCACCUGUUUAUCCACACUGGGUAUCCCUGAUGCUGUUCACAAAGCUUACAACACUCAUUGUGCUUUAUUAUAUUGCACCAGUAAAUUAGACAGAGGAUUGCCCAUGGAUAGCAAAAUAAAGGCUGAAUUCUGCCAGACUCUUAAUGGAAAGGCACUUGGAUCCAUUCUGGCCAUAAAGAUAUAUCAUGGGGAAGAUUUUUUUUUAAAUGCACACAAGCCCAACGAACUCCUUGAAGCAACUAGAUGGUCCUUGCUUCUGCAAUAAACAUGCACCCAAAUAUCACUGACAAAUUACUAUAGGACUGUGUAGCAUUUUAUCAUUAAUUUUCCAAUUUUGUCAAUUUUUAUUGGUGGACAAAAUGAAUGUAUUCAAAUAAAUGGGACUGUGUUUUUAGAGCUCUGACAUUUGUGAUCAGUAACAACAUUUUGGCAGCACAUUCCUGGAGGAGCAAUUAUUGAUUCACUAGUGGGUUCACACACCGCAUACAUAGUUCUAUAAUUCUGUAGUAACUCAGGACCAAUUUCCGCAACAAAAUUUUGCAAAUUCAGCAGCACUCCUGUUGCAAUGGAAACAAGGGCAGCAGCUGUUUUCAGACGUACAAUUUCCAAAUU
Molecule: long non-coding RNA, 1378 nt
Organism: Chelonia mydas (Green sea turtle)
Lineage: Eukaryota; Metazoa; Chordata; Testudines; Cheloniidae
Exons: 3
Source: RefSeq, a predicted model, not a curated record